GCAGAUGAAGUGUUACGGUAGCACAGAAGACUUCCAAUCUUCGAGCGUGGGUUCGACUCCCAUCAUCUGCA
Molecule: transfer RNA, 71 nt
Filed under: Richelia sp. RM2_1_2
Lineage: Bacteria; Bacillati; Cyanobacteriota; Cyanophyceae; Nostocales; Nostocaceae
Description: tRNA-Gly
Rfam family: tRNA
About the family: Transfer RNA (tRNA) molecules are approximately 80 nucleotides in length.
Source: RNAcentral